AUGAAUGCCAUCUUGGCAGGUAUCAAUGGUGAGAUCGAGCGCGCGGCCUUGCCGCAGAGAGAAGACCGGAGGGGUCAAAGGACGGCCAUAAAUUUGAGCCAGUGGAUCGGCGAGAAUUGCCCUGAUUUGUCCAAGUGGGCGCAGGCUCACGACACCGGGGCUCGGUAUGGAAUAAUGACCAGCAACAUGUCAGAGGUGUACAAUGGUGUUCUUAAAGGGGUGAGAGCCUUGCCUAUCAUAGCCCUAAUUGAAGAAACUUGGAACCGGACACUCUCAUACUUUGCAGACAGGGUUACCGUGGCUAAA
This 306-nucleotide ribosomal RNA is filed under the name Triticum aestivum (bread wheat). RNAcentral's name for it is "partial small subunit ribosomal RNA". The record is from RNAcentral. Lineage: Eukaryota; Viridiplantae; Streptophyta; Magnoliopsida; Poales; Poaceae.